ACAUACUCUCUUAUCCAAGCUCGAGAGCUACGAAAUAAAACAAGUAUCUCGUUUCAUGUUAGAGUAGGUGACCAACAAGCCAACUUGUGGUUGUGGUCUUUCCAUUUAUUCUUGUAAUCGAUAAUCCUUUUUGUAUCAAUGAUAAAAACACCUUGGCAUUCUAUAUCUUUGUCCCUUUGUCACAAGCAUAGAUAUAGUCCUUACAGUUAUUACAAGUACUAGUAACUGAUCGUUAGGAUCGUGAGAUAUUUACUUUAGUAUUAUAACUGUUAAACGUGUUCCUAGUCGAAGGGUUACGCCACCAAUGAGGAUAUCGGCCUUUCGCAUUAAGAGGCUAGCACUUAGUUUAUGUGUACUGCAUCUCAUCAGUAAAUGGUAUUGUGAUAUCGGCAUGCAUAAGUGGGUGUUAGUAAGUUGACGAGUUCAGUGAACGCCCUCACCCUUGAAAUCUCUAAGUGGUUCUCAAUAAUUGAGUAGAUAUAUCUAUGGUAUAGUUGUACACCAUUAUUCCUUAUGACGUAGAUAUCACCGUGACUUCACUAGAGGACCAGCUGUAUCGUGACCUGUCCCUGAGUUCCACCGAGGACCACCCCAAGGGCCAGUGUUCGUGCAACCCGAAAUCUAGUGGGAGGUCUGUGCAUUGUAGUCGAGGAUUUGAUCGCUAGAAUAGUCUUUGAUGUUCUGUGUGUUCUCAUAGUUUGAAAUAUCUAAGUCUCUGGCCAGAGCUGACUAAGUGAUGAUUAGAGAAUUCGAUUCUCUAAGUCAUGCACGCAACGAUUACAACACUUAGAACGACCGCACAGUCAUUGAACUACUAAGGAGGUCUCGAUGAACCAAUGCCUCUAGUUCAAUCGGGACAUAUGAAUCGAAGGGAUCGUACUGUACACUAACUAUAUCAAUGUUGGGUUUCGGGCACGUGUACGCAGCGGAAAACAAAAAUUUAAUGUGAUUUAAACGACUUUAAAGCACACAAGCACAUGCCCGACAAAUUAAAAUCAAUUAAUUGCGUACCUUUGCGCUUCCAGCGAAAUUAAAAACAAUAUACAUGGUAAAUAAUUUAACCGAAUUUAAAUCAAUUAACAUGCUCGCGUUUAAACCAAAUAACAUGCUUGCAACGAUUAGAACGAUUACGCAUAAUUAGGGUUGUUCAUGGGUCGGGUCGGUUGAUUAUCGGCCGAUUAUCGGCCCGACCCGACCAACCGACUCUUACAAAUAUGUAAAACCAUUAUCGGCCCGACUAUUGUGAGUCGGGUAAUGGUUGGCAACCGACUUUGUCGGUUGCCAAAACGGGUCGGUUGAAAUUAUCGGCCCAUAUCGGCCACAUAUUAAUUAAAAUAAAAAAUAAAAAAAUUAUGCUAUUCUUCUAUCAAAAUUCAGCAACAAACAUUCCAAUAUUUCAUUCCCAAAAUCAAAUUUCAACAAUAUCACAUAUUACAAAUUAAAUUUCCAAAAACAAUAUAAAAUACUAAAACGAAUCACUUUCAGCCAUUCACACUUUCACACCACAAAAUUCUGAAACUUUUAAUUUUAAUUUGAGAAACACAAAAAAUCGUACCUUAGAAUUUAGAAAGAACUAGAAAGGGCUAGAGGUAAAUCUUUGGAGAAAGCAACGGCGCGUCGGCGGCGAUGGGCUGAUAGAGAGAGACGAGAGAUAUAUCGGCGACUAGAGAGAGAGACAAUAGUCGAAGAUAAGGCGAAAAUGAAGAUUAUAGUUUUUUUGGUUGUGUAUUUUUAUUCAUUUCACCGAAAUGUCAAAAAUUAAAUAUUGAAACUAAUAGUCAGUAAAAACAUAAAGAGAAAAAAAAAAAAAAAAAAAAGUCGGUUGGUCGGGUAAUAUCGGCCAACCGACUUUUCAACAAAUUAGAAACUAUACCCGACCCAACCAUGCAUGGGUCGGUUAAAAUUAUCGGCCCGACCAAAACGAGUCGGUUGGUGGGCAAUUAUCGGCCAGAAUAGUCGUGCAGAUAAUGGGUCGGUUGUCGGGUAAAACCGACCCAUGAACAACCCUACACAUAAUCACAUAAAAUCAUACGAUAGCAAACAUGAAUACAUAGUUUAAACGUAAACGAAUCGAAACAAGGGAUUCGUGUGUUUACCUCUUGAAGCGUGAGGUAGGAGCGCUUAGCAAGUCGAGAUUGCUACGGAAACCAAUCCGUACAAUCGGGGCAGCAGCGGUGCAGCAGCAGCAACGGCGAGACGGGCCGUGGCGGCGCGUGUAGCUCACACGCGGUCUUCGGGCGGCGCGUGGGGCUGCGUGCGGCUUCGGCUCGUAUGCUGCUCCUUGAUUCUUCGAUCUUCGAUCUUUCUCCUCUCGGAUUUCACCUCGUAUACUUCGAUCUACUAAACACGUGGCACUAGACACGUAAUAGUUAGAAAAACGGAAGAAAAAGAGAAGGAAAGAAACUACCAAGACAAUCGGCCGAUGAACGGCCGAAUCCGGCGAAACGGCGGGGAGGACGGCGGUGGUGGCCGCGGGAGAGAGAGGCCGAGAGAGAGAGGUGGACGGCUAGGGUUAGGGUUUUGUUGUGUGUUUUGUGCAAGACCCAUAAAUCAAGUAUUUAUAUGUCUUGCAUAAAACCCUAGCGGGCUUAAGUCCGUUAGUACUUUUACUUGCUCGUCUCUCUUAAUUCAAUGACCGAAAAAUUGCAACGAUUACAUUUUCGGAAUCAUUAUAAUUUCCUCGUCAUUACGAGUGCCAUUUCUCAUUUUCCACCUUUCCAAAAGUGGAAACCCUAGUUCAGUGCACUUUCUAAAUUUGGAAACUUCCCGAUUUAGAAAGUUCACUAAUACGUUCGCCUAUUCUUUUCCUUUUUCUUAUUCUCAUUCGUAAUUCUAAAUUACGAAUGUUGGACUCAAUCGUAUUGACUUCCAAUAAUGCAAAGAUAAACUAUUUUAUCUCUGACCGUUUAUUCAAAGAUCUCAUGUGCACGAGCAGUGUGACCCUCGAUGGUUCACGUGUAAGCUAGCCACAACUCUUUGUGGUCAAAACUCGUCCCUUAGAGUUACGAUUAAGAUGAAGCUCGUUUCACCUUAAUCACCCAACGAAUCAAGAUUGGCGUCUAGAAACUACGCGUCAUGAUUCCCUAGAUACAAAUGAAGUGCCUGCAAGAACCUUCAGAUAUAGUUAACGUACAGUACGGUCCCUUCGAUUCAUAUGUCCCGAUCGAACUAGAGGCAUUGGUUCAUCGAGACCUCUUUAUAUAUUCAAUGACGGUGCGAUCGUUCCAAGUGUUGUAAUCGUCACUUGCAUGACUUAGAGAAUCGAAUUCUCUAAUCAUCACUUAGUCAGCUCUGGCCAGUGACUUAGAAUGAUUACAAACUUUCAGAACACACAGGACAUCCAAGACUAUUCUAGCGAUCGAAUCCCCGACUACAAUGCACAGACCUCCCACUAGAUUUCGGACUGCACGAACACUGGCCCUUGGGAUGGUCCUCGGUGGAACUCAGGGACAGGUCACGAUACAGCUGGUCCUCUAGUGAAGUCACGGUGAUGUCUAGGUCAUAAGGACUAAUGGUGUACAACUAUACCAUAGAUAUCUCUACUCGAUUAUUGGGAACCACUUAGAGAUUUCUAGGGUGAGGGAGUUCAGUGAACUCGUCAACUUACGAGCACCCACUUAUGUAUGCCGAUAUCACAAUACCGUUUACUGAUGAGAUGCAGUACACAUACACUAAGUGCUAGUCUUAAUGGGAAAGGCCGAUAUCCUCAUUAGUGGCGUAACCCUUCGACUAGGAACACGUUUAACAGUUAUAAUACUUGAGUAAAUAUCUCACGAUCCUAACGAUCAAUUACUAGUACUUGUAAUAACUGUAAGGACUAUAUCUAUGCUUGUGACAAAGGGACAAAGAUAUAGAAUGCCAAGGUGUUUUAUCAUUAAUACGAAUAAAGGUUCGUUUAUUACAAUAAUAAAUACGAAAGACCACAGCCACAUGUUGGCUUGUUGGUCACCUACUCUAACAAUCUCCAAAUUGACCUAAAGCCAACUACCCAUAAAUCGCAAUCCCAUCGACUCUCGAUGUUUCUCAUGGACCGAUCUCGGUAAAGGCUUCGUGAAGGGGUCUGCAACGUUCUCUUCCGAGGUGACUCGUUCAACCUUAACUUCACCUCUGUCAAUGAUCUCUCGGAUCACGUGAUACUUCCUCAGAAUAUGCUUCGACUUCUGAUGAGAUCGUGGCUCCUUAGCUUGCGCCACGGCUCCGGUGUUAUCACAGUACAACGGUACUGGAUCACUAGCAUCAGGAAUGACACCCAACUCUUGGAUGAAUUUCCUUAUCCAAGUCCCUUCUUUUGCAGCUUCGGACGCUGCAAUGUUUUCCGCUUCGGUAGUGGAAUCAGCCGUCGUGCUUUGCUUGGAACUCUUCCAACACACAGCACCACCAUUAAGCGUGAAUAUAAAUCCUGAAUUCGACUUUGAGUCGUCCACAUCCGAUUGAAAACUAGAGUCAGUAAAACCCUCUAAUUUCAAUUCGGCACCUCCAUAGACCAAAAAUAUAUCCUUAGUUCUUCGCAAGUACUUGAGGAUAUCUUUCACGGCUUUCCAGUGAGCCGGGCCGGGGUUAGACUGAUAUCUGCUUGUGUCACUCACAGCAUACGCAAUAUCGGGUCUCGUACAUAGCAUGCCAUACAUUAUGCUUCCUAUGGCAGAAGCAUAGGGCGUCCUUUUCAUCUCCUCGAUUUCACUAGGUGUUUGCGGACACAUAGAUUUCGAGAGACGAACCCCAUGGGACAUUGGCAAGAAUCCUUUCUUGGAUUCUUCCAUGCUAAACCGUUUUGAUAACGGUGUCUAUGUACAGGCUUUGGGAUAAACCAAGCAUCUUUCUCGCUCUAUCUCUAUAGAUGCGUAUUCGUAAUACAUAAGAUGCUUCUCCCAAAUCCUUCAUUGAGAAACGUGUGGACAACCAUGCUUUCGUUUGCUGCAACAUUCCUACGUCAUUCCCAAUGAGUAGAAUGUCAUCAACGUAAAGCACUAAAAAUAUCACUGCCCUCCCACUAACCUUCUUGUAUACACAAGGUUCCUCCAGAUUCUUCUCAAAAUCAAACUCUUUGAUAGUUGAGUCGAACCUAAUGUUCCAACUACGGGAUGCUUGCUUCAAUCCAUAAAUGGAUCGCUGGAGCUUGCAAACCUUUUGCUCACUUCCAGAAGAUAUGAAGCCUUCCGGCUGCGCCAUGUAAAUUUCUUCCUCAAUAUCUCCAUUAAGGAAGGCGGUCUUCACAUCCAUUUGCCAUAUCUCGUAGUCGUACCACGCAGCUAUGGCCAGCAAAAUCCUAAUGGACUUCAGCAUCGCGACUGGCGAAAAAGUUUCCUCAUAGUCAACACCUUGCCUUUGAGUGUAUCCUUUUGCUACCAAUCUAGCUUUAUAGGUCGAUACCUUUCCAUCAACUCCAAUUUUUUUCUUAUAGAUCCACUUGCAGCCUAUAGGAACAAUUCCUUUGGGUGGAUCUACCAAGGUCCAUACCUUGUUGGAGUAAAUGGAGUCCAUUUCGGAUUUCAUGGCAGUUAGCCAAUGUCCCAUGUCCGCAUCCGAUACGGCCUCAUUGUAUGUUCUUGGAUCUUGUCCAAGAUCAACAUGAUCUUCAUCAUUUUCGAGGAGGAAUAACCUAUCCGGCAUUUUCCGAACUCUUUCGGAUCUACGUACCGUAGGUUCAGGAGGUAUAUUAGUGGUUUGUUGUAUUGGUUCGAUUACUUGUUCUUGCGUUUGAACUUCAUUGUGUGGUUCUUGAACUACUUCAAGUUCUAUCAUGCUGCCCUUUCUAUCGGAUAGAAACUCCCUUUCCAAAAAGGUGGCAUUUCUCGAAACAAACGUCUUUGUUUCUUUGACAUAGUAGAACUCAUAUCCCAUCGAGUCUUCGGGAUACCCCACAAACUAGCACAAGUCGGAUUUACUAUCCAACUUAUCUCCCACUAAUCGCUUCACAUAAGCGGGACAACCCCAUAUCCUAAUAUGUUUGUAGUUGGGUUUCCGGGAAUGCCAAAGUUCAUAAGGUGUGGAUUUAACUGCUUUGGUGUUAACUCUAUUCAGCAAAUACGCGGCAGUACGAAGUGCAUGACCCCACAAGUAUGCCGGUAAGUUUGUGAACCCCAUCAUUGAUCGAACCAUAUCUAAUAAAGUUCGAUUCCGACGUUCGGAGACUCCAUUAAGUUGAGGAGUCCCCGGUGGAGUCCAUUGGGAUUGUAUCCCAUUCUCUUUUAGAUAGUCAAUGAACUCGAUGCUCAAGUAUUCUCCACAACGAUCGGAUCGCAGCUUCUUAAUACUUCGUCCGAGUUGCUUUUCCACUUCGUGUCUAAAAUCUUUGAACCUUUCAAAUGUUUCAGACUUGUACUUCAUCAAGUACACAUACCCAUACCUAGAACAAUCGUCGGUAAAGGUAGCGAAGUAGUUAUAUCCACCCUUCGCACUAACACUUAGUGGACCACAUACGUCUGUAUGGAUCAAAUCCAAAAGACCCUCCGCUCGUUCCAUUUUCCCUUUGUAGGGUGACUUGGUCAUUUUCCCUUUAAGGCAGGAUUCACAAGUUUGUAGUGAUUUCACGUCCUCCAAAGAGAACAAUCCUUCACUGACAAAAUCGUUCAUCCUUCUUAAAGAGACAUGACCUAAUCUAGCGUGCCAAAGUUGUGCGGGGUUUUGAUCUAUCUCCUUACGUUUUGCUGAUAUAACAUUAAUAGGUAUUUCAUUUGGAUUUAGUUCAUACAAGUUGUUUAAUAGUCGUCCUUUGCAAAUUAAAUUCUCAUUCUUUUGUAUAAUGCAAAUCGAAUUUCCAAAAACAAAAGUAAAACCUUCAAUAUCUAAUACAGGAAUAGAAAUAAGGUUUCAAUACAAAUAAACAAUCGUUCAAAACAAUAGGAAAACUAGAAUCCAAAACAUUUAAGUAAAUUGUGCCAAUGGCUUCAGCAGCAACUCUUGCUCCAUUCGCCAUCCUUAGGUAGGUCUCACCCGCUCUAAGUCUUCGACUUCUUGUCAUUAGCUGCAAAUCAUUGCACAAAUGUGAGCCACAGCCCGUAUCCAAUACCCAAGAAGAAGAGUUGACAGACAAAUUUACGUCAAUGAAAUACGUACCCUUUUCAGAACCUUUCUGCUUUAGGUAAGCCUUGCAGUUGCGGCGCCAAUGUCCUUUCUUUCCACAGUGAUGGCAAGCAUCAUCAACUUGUUUGCUAACCUUUGCUUUGGGGCCCCCACUACCUUCACCCACUUCGAACUUGCUGUUUGGGAAGGGAACUCUUUCCUUUCUCUUCUUUUGGAAAGAACUCUUCUUUCCAGAAGUAGCAGCAAUGAGAACAGACUUCUCUUUCUUAAUGGUGGACUCGAAGCUGACCAACAUGUUCAUUAACUCAUCCAAGGGAGGAUCUAGUUUGUUCAUGUUGAAGUUCACUAUGAACGAUUCAUAGGAACUAGGAAGGGACAACAUGAUCAAAUCCAACGAGAGCUCGGCCGGGAGGGUGACAUCAAGAUUCACUAGCUUUUCAAGGAGAGUGAUCAUUUUGAGACAGUGCUCGUGGACCGAAGUCCCUUCGCGCAGUCUCGCCGUGAUCAACUCCUUUGUAGCAGCGUACCUCGAUGCCCUAAUAUUCUCACUAUACAUGCUAUCGAGAUGAGCCUUUAUAUCGAAAGCAUGCAUGUGAGACUCAUAUUUCCUCGCAAGCGCGGGCUCCAUGGCGGCUAUCAUAUAGCACCUAGCAUGAGUGUCAUCUUUCUUCCAAACUUUAUAAGUUUCCUUUUCAGCAUCAGUCGCUGUGGCAGGUAUAGUGGCGGGAAGUCUCUCGUUCAAAACAUAGAGACGCCCUUCAACAGUUAGCACAAGCUUAAGACUACGCAACCAAUCUAGGUAAUUAGGGCCAUUGAGUUUAUUGUCGAGGAUUGACAUUAUGGGAUUCUUAGACAUGAUUAUCUGAGACAUAUAGAGAAGAGGAUUAUUAGAGAUUCGCGUUAAAUAAUUGUUACAAUUAAAUGUUUGGACUUAUGUUAUUUAAUUGUUCUCCCACUAAUUUUAUCGAGUUCCACUUCCCUCUAGUAGACAAACGAGAAAACUGAUUUUUCUUAAUGGGCUCUAGGUCCAAUAGACAAAUAUAACCCGUAGUUAAUCUAGCCCGAUUAUAUUUGCCCAAAGGUAGAUCACAAUCAAUCAUAUCCACAAUAUGACCCUAAAUUAAAUUUUCCUCACACUUGAUAAUGACCUAAGUUAAUCUCGCGAAUAUCAAAAUCGUCGUGUGUCAAGUCUAACCUACCAAUCAAAGAUGCUCAUAGAACUUGAUUAUGCCAAACUAAUGCAGUCCCUAGUUAAUCUAGCCGACCACGUUAAUCCAACAUAACCCUUUUCUAUGGCUACCUUCAUCGUUAUGUCAAUUGAAUUACAGCUUACUCUACCAUAACACUCCCCGCUAACACGGCUUACUGCACUACAGUAAAGGGCUACACAUAAUCCAACCGUUGGCAGAAGGAAAGAAAUAACUCAACAGAUUGGGUUUUUCUUUAUAGCUUGAAAUGAUUCUCAAUUAGAUUAAGAAUGAGGGGUUUUAUUAAAAGUUUUAUCUCGUCAGAAGGUUCGGAUUGGUCUAUGUGAUUUCUACAUCUAUGUUCUCUAAAGGUAUAUGGAAACGCAUAUUGUCCUAAGAGGAACAUACGACCUAAUUAUAUAAUUAAUUACAUUAAUUAAUUAUCGGGUUUUUCAAAAUAAUUAUAGAACCUCAACUAGCAUAAAUCAUUCAAAUAAUGUUGAGGUACUACUAAUUAAGCUGAACUAUAAUCAAUAUUAUAUAUGUGUUCUAUUAAUUGAAAUCAAUUUAACAAUUUAAAUUAAUUAAUUAAUCUAACACCUAUUUACUAAAAUAGAUGAUUGUCGAUCCAAUUAUCUAGUUGGGAUUAAUUGAAAAUAAUUUUCCAAAAAUUAAAAUCAAUUUGUUUUAAGUUUAAUUUUAGAAAUCUGAAAUAAAUUAUUUUUUUAUUAUUAUUAUUUUUUUUUUCAGUGAACUGGUUCGGUCCAACCGGUCUGACCGGUUCGGACCGAAGCGGUCCGGUUCUGUCCGGUCCAGCUGACCCAAAUCAGUGGGCCGGGUCAGUCGGACCGGGAACCGGUCUGACCGACCCAAAUCCACGUGGAUUCGGUCAACUAAAUCACACACAACCAUCGAACCGGCCGGUUCGACCGGUUCGAUCCGAUUAAACAAAAACCGAUGUUUUAAAAACAAUUUCAUAUCCGAUUUUCCAAUUUUAAACAAUUUUAAAGCUGGACAAAUUCUAAACAAUAUUUCAAAAAUAUUUUAAACUUACGAAAACUCCCAAUUACAUAAUACAACAAUCACUACUUUAAUAAAUCGAACAUGCAUAAAAUCAUAGCAUAUUAUACGAUGCAAUUAAUUACGCAACGAGCUCUGAUACCACUGUUGGGUUUCGGGCACGUGUACGCAGCGGAAAACAAAAAUUUAAUGUGAUUUAAACGACUUUAAAGCACACAAGCACAUGCCCGACAAAUUAAAAUCAAUUAAUUGCGUACCUUUGCGCUUCCAGCGAAAUUAAAAACAAUAUACAUGGUAAAUAAUUUAACCGAAUUUAAAUCAAUUAACAUGCUCGUGUUUAAACCAAAUAACAUGCUUGCAACGAUUAGAACGAUUACACAUAAUCACAUAAAAUCAUACGAUAGCAAACAUGAAUACAUAGUUUAAACGUAAACGAAUCGAAACAAGGGAUUCGUGUGUUUACCUCUUGAAGCGUGAGGUAGGAGCGCUUAGCAAGUCGAGAUUGCUACGGAAACCAAUUCGUACAAUCGGGGCAGCAGCGGUGCAGCAGCAGCAACGGCGAGACGGGCCGUGGCGGCGCGUGUAGCUCACGCGCGGUCUUCGGGCGGCGCGUGGGGCUGCGUGCGGCUUCGGCUCGUAUGCUGCUCCUCGAUUCUUCGAUCUUCGAUCUUCCUCCUCUCGGAUUUCACCUCGUAUACUUCGAUCUACUAAACACGUGGCACUAGACACGUAAUAGUUAGAAAAACGGAAGAAAAAGAGAAGGAAAGAAACUACCAAGACAAUCGGCCGAUGAACGGCCGAUUCCGGCGAAACGGCGGGGAGGACGGCGGUGGUGGCCGCGGGAGAGAGAGGCCGAGAGAGAGAGGUGGACGGCUAGGGUUAGGGUUUUGUUGUGUGUUUUGUGCAAGACCUAUAAAUCAAGUAUUUAUAUGUCUUGCAUAAAACCCUAGCGGGCUUAAGUUGGAUCGGGCCCAACAGCUUAAGUCUGUUAGUACUUUUACUUGCUCGUCUCUCUUAAUUCAAUGACCGAAAAAUUGCAACGAUUACAUUUUCGGAAUCAUUAUAAUUUCCUCGUCAUUACGAGUGCCAUUUCUCAUUUUCCGACUUUCCAAAAGUGGAAACCCUAGUUCAGUGCACUUUCUAAAUUUGGAAACUUCCCGAUUUAGAAAGUUCACUAAUACGUUCGCCUAUUCUUUUCCUUUUUCUUAUUCUCAUUCGUAAUUCCAAAUUACGAAUGUUGGACUCAAUCGUAUUGACUUCCAAUUAUGCAAAGAUAAAAUAUUUUAUCUCUGACCGCUUAUUCAAAGAUCUCAUGUGCACGAGCAGUGUGACCCUCGAUGGUUCAGGUGUAAGCUAGCUGUGGGCCCACAACUCUUUGUGGUCAAAACUCGUCCCUUAGAGUUACGAUUAAGAUGAAGCUCGUUUCACCUUAAUCACCCAACGAAUCAAGAUUGGCGUCUAGCAACUACGCGUCAUGAUUCACUAGAUACAAAUGAAGUGCCUGCAAGAACCUUCAGAUAUAGUUAACGUACAGUACGGUCCCUUCGAUUCAUAUGUCCCGAUCGAACUAGAGGCAUUGGUUCAUCGAGACCUCUUUAUAUGUUCAAUGACGGUGCGAUCGUUCCAAGUGUUGUAAUCGUCACGUGCAUGACUUAGAGAAUCGAAUUCUCUAAUCAUUACUUAGUCAGCUCUGUCCAGAGACUUAGAAUGAUUACAAACUUUCAGAACACACAGGACAUCCAAGACUAUUCUAGCGAUCGAAUCCCCGACUACAAUGCACAGACCUCCCACUAGAUUUCGGACUGUACGAACACUGGCCCUUGGGAUGGUCCUCGGUGGAACUCAGGGACAGGUCACGAUACAGCUGGUCCUCUAGUGAAGUCACGGUGAUGUCUAGGUCAUAAGGACUAAUGGUGUACAACUAUACCAUAGAUAUCUCUACUUGAUUAUUGGGAACCACUUAGAGAUUUCUAGGGUGAGGGAGUUCAGUGAACUCGUCAACUUACGAGCACCCACUUAUGUAUGCCGAUAUCACAAUACCGUUUACUGAUGAGAUGCAGUACACAUACACUAAGUGCUAGUCUUAAUGGGAAAGGCCGAUAUCCUCAUUAGUGGCGUAACCCUUCGACUAGGAACACGUUUAACAGUUAUAAUACUUGAGUAAAUAUCUCACGAUCCUAACGAUCAAUUACUAGUACUAAUAACUGUAAGGACUAUAUAUAUGCUUGUGACAAAGGGACAAAGAUAUAGAAUGCGUAGGUGUUUUAUCAUUAAUACGAAUAAAGGUUCGUUUAUUACAAUAAUAAUACGAAAGACCACAGCCACAUGUUGGCUUGUUGGUCACCUACUCUAACAAUCAAAAGGUUCUUGCAGGCACUUCAUUUGUAUCUAGGGAAUCAUGACGCGUAGUUGCUAGACGCUAAUCUUGAUUCGUUGGGUGAUUAAGGUGAAACGAGCUACAUCUUAAUCGUAACUCUAAGGGACGAGUUAUGACCACAAAGGGUUGUGGGCCCACGGCUAGCUUACACCGAACCAUCGAGGGUCACACUGCUCGUGCACAUGAGAUCUUUGAAUAAAUGGUCAGAGAUAAAAAAAAAAUUAUCUUUGCAUGAUUGGAAGUCAAUAUGAUUGAGUCCAACAUUCGUAAUUUGGAAUUAUGAAUGAGAAUAAGAAAAAGAAAAGAAUAGGCGAACAUCUUAGUGGACUUUCUAAAUUGGGAAGUUUCCAAAUUUAGAAAGUGCAGUGAAUUAGGGUUUCAACUUUUAGAAAGUUGGAAAUCGAGCAUUGGCACUCGUAAUGACGAGGAAAUUAUAAUGAUUCUGAAAAUGUAAUCGUUACAAUUUUUCUAUCAUUGAAUUGAGAGAAAUGAGCGAGUGAAGAACUAACGAGCUUAAGCUGUUGGCCCCGGUCCAACUUAAGCCCGUUAGGGCUUUUAUGCAAGACACUAUAAAUACUUGAUUUAUAGGUCUUGCACAAACAACAACACAAUCCCGAAACCCUAGACGCUUGCCCUUUCUCUCUCUCGGCCACACCAGCUCACGGCCGUCGCCGUCGCCGCCGUUCAACCGCCGGAAAUCGGCCUCUGUUGGCCGAUUAUUCGUGGUAGUUCUAUUAUUCCUUUUAUUCUAACUAUUGCGUGUCUAGUGCCGCGUUUUAGUAGAUUGAAGUAUACGAGGUGAAAUUCGAGUGGAAGAAGAAUCGAAGAAUCGAAUAAUCGAGGAGCAGCCCCCGAGGCAACGCCGCACGCGCUGCCACGCGUCGCGCGAACACAACGCGUGAUCCUCACGCGCCGCCGUUGCUUACGCCGUCGCUGCUCCCGGAUUGCACGGAUUGGCUUCCGUGGCAAUCUUGCUUCGUUUAGUGCACCAACCUCACGCUUCAAGAGGUAAUUUUUCGAAUCCGGUAUCCGUUUGAAAUUAAUUUAAUUAGAUUAAAAUAUGCAUGAUCGUUUUCGUAGUAUGUUUUAUGAAUUUGUAUGUUUUAUAUGAUUACAUGAAAUUCAUGAUUUACUGCGAGCACAUUAAUUGAUUUAAAUGUUAGCAUGCUAAUUGAUUUACUGUCGAUUAAAUAAUUCGCAUGAAUGUUGUUUUUAAUUUCGCUGGAAGCGCAAAGGUACGCAAUUAAUUGUUUAUAAUUAUCGGGCAUGUGAUUAUGUGAUUUAAAUUUGUUAAAUUCGCACAAAAUUUUUGUUUUCCGCUGCGUACACGUGUCUGAUUCCCAACAGUUCACUCAUAUCAUAAAUUAUUUCAAGAAGGGAGAACUUCCAACCGACACCACCCAAGAACGGAAGUUAAAAACAAGAGCCGCUCGCUUCGUAAUAGUGGAAAAAAAACUGUACAUACGAGGGUUCUCCUUCCCUUAUCUCUGCCUCAGUCUAACUACAACAAACAACGUACUUCGAGAAGUACACGAAGGCAUUUGCGGAAAUCAUUUGAGUGGUAGAACAUUGUCUCUCAAACUGUUGAGACAAGGUUACUACUGGCCAACGAUGCAUGAAGACUCGAAGAAAUUAGCACAGAGGUGUAAACCCUGCCAAGAGCAUGCCAACAUCACUCACAUGCAGUGGCGUUAAUGCAACCGAUUGACAGCCCCAUCCCUUUCGCUGAAUGGGGGAGUAGACUUAGUCGGCCCCUUCCCACCCGCCACCGGAGGGUGCAAGUUCCUCAUUGUAGCCGUUCAUUACUUCACCAAAUGGGUUGAGGCCGAACCCUUAUCGCGCAUUCGAGAAGAAGAAGUCAUUCAAUUCCUCUGGAAGAGUAUCGUGUGCCGUUUUGGAAUCCCACAUUCCAUUAUUUCCGAUAAUGGAACCCAAUUUUGUGGAGACAAAGUGAAGAAUUGGUGCCUUGGCUUGGAUAUCAAAUAGUUCUUCACAUCCGUAGCCAACCCACAAGCAAACGGCCAAACUGAGGUCACGAAUCGCACCAUACUCCAACAUCUCAAAACAAGGCUUGGAAGUGCCAAGGGGAAGUGGGUGGAACAAUUGCCCAACGCCCUAUGGGCAUAUGGAACAACCCCACGAGCAGGAACCGAAGAAUCACCCUUUAACUCAGCUUUUGGAACAAAGACUAUCACACCCGUUGAAAUCAGUGAACCAUCUUGGCGAGUCACCAACUAUAAUCCCGAAGCUAAUGAAAAAGCUAUGCGAAGGAGCCUCGACCUUGUAGAUGAGCUACGAGAGACUGCAUGCGUCCGACAACAGAUGUACAAAACACGCAUGGCGAAGCCCUAUAACUCUAAGGUCCACCCUCGAUCUUUCCAAGUGGUAAACUCAACCCCAAAUGGGAAGGACCAUAUAAAAUCACACAAGUGGUCUACACUGGAUCAUAUCGCCUCGAGAACCUUGACGGACACCCUAUAUCUAGAACCUGGAAUAUAGGGAACCUCAAAAGGUUCUACGCUUGAGGUAUACACCAACCAUGCUUCAAAAUCGUUUAAGUUAGCAUCCGCAUCUAAUUACUCAUACAAAAGUCACUUAAAAACAGCUACCCUUGCAGGCUUCGCGACCUUCCACGUCACUCGUCUUGCAAAAAUGUCUCUAAACACCUGAGAAGUUCCAACUCCAUAACGAGGUGCGUAAGCGUCCCACCCAAACUGGGGGGCUACUAAUAUUAACUACCUCAACAUUCCAUAACCACCUUUCAUCAUCUUCUUACAGAUUGAGAAUCAAUUACAAGGGGAUGCCUUCCGUCCAUCACCUGCCCAAGGAGAGAAGAUACUCCGCACUUUCUCACGAAGGGUAACCCCACUUCUACUAAGUGAUAUCACACGCACAUAUAUUCGAUAUCUCUCAAACAUAGUAAUGCCAUCCUAUUUGACAGGCAUGAUUACGCAGCAAAUCACCGCAACUCACGAGUUGAUUUCACAUCUUGGAAUGCGAGAAAGAGAAACAGUCCCCAUAUGGGGUACGUGAACCUUUACUACACAUCACCCCAACUUAUUAAAUUACCAAGUCUUCAGUACAAGUACUUAGAGAUUUCUACUAUAUUUUUCAGGCAUAGAGACACCAAAGACAAUCGACAUACCACCAGCACAACAAGCACGGACGAGUACAAUGAAAACAUGGAAGAAGAACCAAUUAUUAUUGCUACGUAGAAUAGUUUUCAUUAUUUCGAAUCAUUCGCUUUUUACAAGUUUAUUUUCCUUCGCCUUAUGACAAUUCGCACUUUCCAUCAAUGAAAAGUGUUAUUGUUUCUAUACUACUUAACCUUUAUGACAGGUUCAUAUCAUUACAACCCUACGAACACUUACAGAAAUUAAGAUAAUCCUGGCCAGAUGGAUAAUCUGAGUCUCUCUAUUUUGUUUUAAUGGGUCCUCCAUUUAAAACGUGGCCACGGUCCUAACAUACGUACGACCCAUGCUGUCUAAACAAAGGGCACGACCCUUAACAAAAAUCUUCGGAGACUAAUCCCCUCCCCAAGUACAUCGCGUACAAUGCUAAAUUUAAACACAUAUAAGCAACGCAUAAAACUCUCGAGAAUGUCAAAAUAAAUAAAUCAAAAUUAUCAAACUUGUAAUGUGAAACACGGAAGAAAUUUCAAACAAAAUAGUAGUGGACAUACCCAUGUACGUCAAAGAUAAAAAUAAACUAAGUGCUCCACCCACAAGAGGGGUUAACUAUCCUACCGAACUAUCGCAUAUAAAAUUAAGCUUCCCCACCACGAGCGGAAGAAGACCCCAUAGUAGGAUCAUCAGGAACCAUGUCAUCCACAAGCUCAGUGCCCGUCUCAUACAUCCUCCAACUCUUAUCCCUCAUCGGGAAUACCGGGCUCCAUCCCUCGAAUGACCCUCUCACUAUUUCCACCCACCUUGCGAAGAUAUUUGUGACAAGUGCGAACUAAUGGCGUGUAGACAACAGCCAAAGCACGUUCCUCAAUCAUAGCACGGCAAGCUGCACUACCUCGGAAGCUACGUUCGGUCUCCUCCAUGACGGACUUCCUAUAAGCAGCACCUCACGACUUCGUGAGAAUCUUCUUUCCCGUCGCUUUCUAGGUCUCAUACUUAGCUUUCAGCAAAUCAUAGCACUCGUCCAACUUCUCAGCCUCAUCCUUAUAGGCCUUCGCCUCACCUCUACUAACUUCAAGCUCCUCCGUCCCCUAAGCAAGAUCGGACUGCGCUAUCUCCAACUGGCCUCGAAGCUAUGCUUCACGCGCUUCCCAGCGAGCUCACUCCUCAUCUUUCCUAGCUUCUGCUCUCUCAUCUUGCUCCAUGAGGAACCUCCAAGUAGUCAGCGCCUAGUUCAACACAACAAAAAAUGGUUACACAAGCAAAAAAAGGAAAUAAGAAUAAAACUUUGUCUUAAAACAAACACUUACCCGGCAUAAGUCUCCGCCAGCCAACUCAAGUAUGUGAGAAGAACCCUUACCGGACAUCCGAGCACGAUCAUAGUCUCGAACAAAAACCUUGGUACUCAUCAUCGCCAUACUACGGUCCGACACAUCCCAAUAGGACUCUUUCCCCUCGCGAUUCACCCCAAAAGUAAACAAUUGCUUCCUUGCCCCACCAUGGAACGCAUAAGGUGUUAGGAUAGUAGACUAAAAGUCUCGCUUUUAGCUACAUAAUUUUAUUAUUGAAUUAAUAAAAUAGUUUAUUAUCAUUUUAUGAGAAUUUGCACUAGGGUAUUCAAUUCAUUUAAUUGAUUGUUUGUCAAUUAAUUAAAAACAUAAGUCUAAUAUUCUAAUAGUAUUCGAAAUGGUGUGCUACGAUGCACAGAAUGAUCAUUUUGAAAGUUCGUUUAGAAUAUAAAGAUAAACGUUCACAAUCUAGAUGGAAAUAGACUAGCCAUUGGUAAAAGAUUGUAGCACAAUAUUAAGUAAUUCGUCUUGAUCACAGUAAAUAGAGAAUAACUUUUGUAGUUAUUGUUUUGACUUAUUGUGCUAGCACACCCGGCAUGUGUUGAACCGGACAAAGUAAAAUAAUUGUUUCAUCACUGUUCAUAAAUGAAACGGUAUUAUUUCUAGCUGCUUACUUUCUUAAUCCCUAGAUAAUUAAUGUACAUAUUUAAUUGAUGAUCUCUACUUUGAUGUCACAAUGGGAGAGAUUCCUAUAUUGAGUCAAAUGGCCCCCAAUGAGUUGGGUAGAGACAUUAAGAAUUAAUAGGUGGAAAUUAAUUAUCGAAAGGAAUCCACAUCUCUGAAAUAUGCGAUUGAUAAUAACCCUUGAGUAGCUUAUAAGAUUUGUUUAUGCCAAGUCCUGGCCAGGUGGAUUUUGUAUCUGGCAUACUCAAAUAAGUUAAGCGGGUAAGACUCAUGAAAAGAAACCAUUUAAUUUAUUUAGCAGUGAAUAAAUUAUUUGGUGGUUAUAAGGUAUCUUAAUAUGGGGAAAAUCUAAGUAAUGAUCGAACGGAGCUCGAAUGUAAUAUUUGAGAAUAUAAACGGGAGUUCAAUAAUUAUUUGUUAGUGGAAAAUAAAUAUUCAUUUAAUGAUUAAUUAAAUGAAUUCUUUUAAGAGUUUGGAUUUAAUUAAUUAUUAGUUGCCCGAUUUAUAUUUUCUCCUUUAGUCCCUAUUGUAGCCCAAUGGAUUUUCUAAUUAAUCGAGAAAAUAAAAGUUCAACCAAUAUUAUAUAUUGGAAUUAAUAUAGCCGAAAAUUAAGUCUCCAUUGUAACACCCCGCAUUUUCAUAAGCAUAUUAUAGGGAUUUAUUGAAUAAAUUAUCGUUUAUGCACAUUUCUAUACAUACAUUACCUUUCAUGAAUUAAUUAGUAAAUGCUAUGCACCUUAAUUUCUUACAUGCAUUAUAUGAGAUCAUGAUAAAUAUACAUUCAUGGAUUAAUUAGUAAUUUCAAUGCAUUCUAAGUGCACGUUUAAGUGAUUUUUAUAAAUUAUGAUAUUUAUGAAUUAGGUGUACUUGUUUGAUUAAAUGAUUUAAUAACUUCGAUUUCGUAAUUAAUUUAUUCUUAUGAUUCUUUGACUCUACUCCUAUGAAUUAUGUGAAUUAUAGUGUUUAUAAUAAUUUCAUGUUUGUGUAUAUUAGAUUCUAUAAUUUGAUUUCUUUCGAAUUAAAUGAUUAAUUAAGGUAAUAUGAUUAAAUGAAUAAUAUGGUUUAGUUCAUGAAUUUUAUUAUGUGAAUGAAUAUAAAUGUUUUUACUAGUGAUAACAUUAAGAAGAUAUUUUAUAUAAUAAUGAAAUAAUAAUUAAAUUCUUUUAUGUAAUUGUCUUUAAUUAUUUUAAUUAUAUAUACAUGUGUCUUAUGAAUAUGCUUAGUAUGUGGUUAUGUGUAUGUCGUGUCAUGUGCAUGAGUGUUCCAAAUGUAUGUGUGUUUAUGCUGCCAUGUGUUUAUAUGUAGGAAUAGAUUAGUGUCUUUCAUUAAUUGCCAUUAGCACCCCUGAUUUUCCUAAAUUGCUUAUGAGCCCCUCAACUUCCCUAUAAAUAGCACACUUCCUUUCCAAAAUUUCAGCAUAAAAAGCCCCUCCAUCUUCUCUUUUCCUACGGCAGCCCACACACCUCCCCCUUCUCUUCUCUUCCAUCGACAACACCUUUCACAUUGAGGAACUUUGUUUCCCACUUCAAGCCAAGAGGAUCCCACAUACUCUCCUACUUCAAUUACUCUCCAAAAGAUAAUAUUUAUCUCCUUAAAUAUCCAGAGAAACAGCCCCUUUACAACCACAAAAUCAGCCAUCCUAAGAUUUAAAAGUUUCAAGCCCAAGCUUCAUCAAUCUUUCGAUUUUCCUCUCUUCUUCGCCAUCGAUUCUUCAUGGGUAAGGACCUCUUGGUCUUUACUGAAAUAAUAACCUAAUUAAUAUCAAUUUUAUGUGUUUAAAUGAAUUAUAUGAUUGUGGUUUUAAUUUUGGGCUUUAGAAGAUAAAAAUCUUAAUGAACACUAAUUGAAAUUCAGAUUCGUAGCCUCUGUUUGUAUUGCAUGUCUCAUUGGGUAAUACUUAAGGUAAAAUUAUGAAAUUUUGCGGUAGUCUAGAUAAUUGUGUUAGCUUCAUUAUGAUAUCAAUUAUGCCUUAAUCUAAUUUAUAUUGUGUGAGUUAUGGAUCGUUUUAUGAAACUGCACAGUUUCUGAGUCAUUGAUGAGUUAUGUGUUUAAAAUGCCUUUAUACUAAUUUGACUUGCGUGAUUUACUUGGAUAUGAUUAAAGACUUGUUAAAGGUCUUCUCUAAAAAAUCUCACAGUGUUUGGUUAAAGGUAUGAAUUAAUUAGUAUUUUUGAAGUUGAUUGCUCUGUUCUGGAAAACUGACCGUGUCACUGCACUAAAUUAAUUAUUUCUCUUAAAUGGUUAAAUUUCUUGCUAAACAGUUUUAACGAGGUCUAAUAUACUUAUAUUUGAACAUCUUAUGAAAUUUUCAAGUGUUUUGAAUAUAUUUUCUAAUAGAUAUGAAUUUUCAAAGUUGAAAUACCAAAACUGUCCGAUUUUCUAAAAUAAACUAUUUUGAACUAGAAAGUAUGUUUAGAAGUUUGGUUUUAAAUUCUUGAUCCUUAGUUAAUAGAAGAAUUAAAAUUAUAUUAAGAUAAUAAAAUAUGAGAAGUUGAAUUUAAUUAUAGUUAUGGUCAUGAAUUAUUCAUUUAAGUCAUUAUGUGUGUUUCGAUUGAUUUGGUAUGUUGGUUUGAGAUUCAUUAUGUGUGUGCCGUAUGUGUGUAAGUAUUGAAGAUUGUUGGGAUUACUUGUGAGAUUAUUGGUCAAUUAAACUCGUUAAUGUUAUAUAGUAUAUGCUAUAUUUCAUACUUUAUAUAUAUGUUAAAUAAACGACUAUAUAUUUAUAUAUCCUAGCCUGCGUGGUCGUAGGAAUAAUUCCCGAUCCAUGGCUUAUAUAUGUAUACUAUCUCUAUAGCAACCUACGUGGUCGUCGAGUGAAAACUCCGAUCCAUGGUUUAUGUAAAUAUAAAAUAUACUAUUAUAAAUAUAUGUGGGGGUGUGUACAACUAUGUGUGUGUGUGUGUGUGUGUGGAUGAACAAUCAUCUUUACGUGAUUCGUAUUUAUUGUGCAACGCUUGAUUGGAUAUCAUUGCCGUGUGUGUGUGUGUGUAGCAGUGUAUAUAUUUGUGCCAUAUGUGUGAUUUAAUUAGUCUAUGUGAUAGUAUGGGGUUAGUAAAUCUUUGUGUUAUUUAAUUGUGACAUAUUUGUGUUAGAGUAGGUGACCAACAAGCCAACAUGUGGCUGUGGUCUUUCGUUUUUAUUAUUGUAAUAAACGAACCUUUAUUCGUAUUAAUGAUAAAACACCUUGGCAUUCUAUAUCUUUGUCCCUUUGUCACAAGCAUAGAUAUAGUCCUUACAGUUAUUACAAGUACUAGUAAUUGAUCGUUAGGAUCGUGAGAUAUUUACUCAAGUAUUAUAACUGUUAAACGUGUUCCUAGUCGAAGGGUUACGCCACUAAUGAGGAUAUCGGCCUUUCCCAUUAAGACUAGCACUUAGUGUAUGUGUACUGCAUCUCAUCAGUAAACGGUAUUGUGAUAUCGGCAUGCAUAAGUGGGUGCUCGUAAGUUGACGAGUUCACUGAACUCCCUCACCCUAGAAAUCUCUAAGUGGUUCCCAAUAAUCGAGUAGAGAUAUCUAUGGUAUAGUUGUACACCAUUAGUCCUUAUGACCUAGACAUCACCGUGACUUCACUAGAGGACCAGCUGUAUCGUGACCUGUCCCUGAGUUCCACCGAGGACCAUCCCAAGGGCCAGUGUUCGUGCAGUCCGAAAUCUAGUGGGAGGUCUGUGCAUUGUAGUCGGGGAUUCGAUCGCUAGAAUAGUCUUGGAUGUCCUGUGUGUUCUGAAAGUUUGUAAUCAUUCUAAGUCUCUGGCCAGAGCUGACUAAGUGAUGAUUAGAGAAUUCGAUUCUCUAAGUCAUGCACGUAAGGAUUACAACACUUAGAACGAUCGCACCGUCAUCGAACAUAUAAAGAGGUCUCGAUGAACCAAUGCCUCUAGUUCGAUCGGGACAUAUGAAUCGAAGGGACCGUACUGGACGUUAACUAUAUCUGAAGGUUCUUGCAGGCACUUCAUUUGUAUCUAUGGAAUCAUGACGCGUAGUUGCUAGACGCCUAUCUUGAUUCGUUGGGUGAUUAAGGUGAAACGAGCUUCAUCUUAAUCGUAACUCUAAGGAACGAGUUUUGACCACAAAGAGUUGUGGGCCCACGGCUAGCUUACACCUGAACCAUCGAGGGUCACACUGCUCGUGCACAUGAGAUCUUUGAAUAAACGGUCAGAGAUAAAAUAGUUUAUCUUUGCAUGAUUGGAAGUCAAUAUGAUUGAGUCCAACAUUCGUAAUUUGGAAUUAUGAAUGAGAAUAAGAAAAGGAAAAGAAUAGGCGAACGUAUUAGUGAACUUUCUAAAUCGGGAAGUUUCCAAAUUUAGAAAGUGCACUGAACUAGGGUUUCCACUUUUGGAAAGUUGGAAAAUGAGAGUUGGCACUCGUAAUGACGAGGAAAUUAUAAUGAUUCCGAAAAUGUAAUAGUUGCAAUUUUUCGGUCAUUGAAUUAAGAGAGACGAGCAAGUAAAGGAACUAACGAGCUUAAGCUGUUGGGCCCGGUCCAACUUAAGCCCGUUAGGGUUUUAUGCAAGGGACUAUAAAUACUUGAUUUAUAGGCCUUGCACAAGAACACAAGAAAAAACCCUAACCCUAGCCGCUCGUACCCUCUCUCUCUCGGCCCUCUCUCCUCGGCCACCGCGCCGCCGUCGCCGGAGCUUCACCGGAAUCGGCCAUUCAUUGGCCGAUUGUUUCGGUAUUGUUUUUCCUUCUCUUUUUCUUCCGUUUUUCUAACUAUUACGUGUCUAGUGCCACGUGUUUAGUAGAUCGAAGUAUACGAGGUGAAAUCCGAGAGGAGGAGGACUGUAGAUCGAAGAAUCGAGGAGCAACGCACGAGCCGAAGCUGCGCGCUGCCCCACGCGCCGCCCCGGAAUACCGCGCGUGUACCUCACGCGCCGCCGUGGGCCGAUCUGCUGCUGCUGCCGCUGCACCGCUGCUGCCCCGAUUGUACGGAUUGGUUUCCGUAGCAAUCUCGACUUGCUAAACGCUCCUACCUCACGCUUCAAGAGGUAAAUACACGAAACCCUAGUUUCGAUUCGUUUAUGUUUAAACUAUGAUCUCAUGUUUGCCAUCGUAUGAUUUCAUGUGAUUAUAUGUAAUCGUUUUAAUCUUUGCAAGCAUGUUAAUCGGUUUAAACGCGAGCAUGUUAAUUGAUUUAAAUUCGGUUAAAUUAUUUAGCAUGUAUGUUGUUUUUAAUUUCGCUGGAAGCGUAAAGGUACGCAAUUAAUUGAUUUAAUUUGUCGGGCAUGUACAUGUGUGAUUUAAAGUCGUUUAAUUCGCAUAAAAUUUUUGUUUCCCGCUGCGUAUGCGUGCCCGAAAUCCAACAGUUGUAUCAGAGCUCGUUGCGCAAUUAAUUGCGUUAUAUAAAAUGCUAUGAUUUUAUGCAUGUUCGAUUUAUUGAAGUAGUGAUUGUCGUAUUAUGUAAUUGGGAGUUUUCGUAAGUUUAAAAUAUUUUCGAAAUAUUGUUUAGAAUUUUUCCAGCUUUAAAAUUGUUUAAAAUUGGAAAAUCGGAUCUGAAAUUGUUUUAAAAUGUCGGUUUUUUAAUUGUUCGGAUCGAACCGGUCGGACCGGCCGGUUCGAUGGUUGUGUGCGAUUUAGUUGAUCGAAUCCACGUGGAUUCGGGUCGGUCAGACCGGUUCCCGGUCCGACUGAUCCGGCCCACUGAUUUGGGUCAGCUGGACCGGACAGAACCGGACCGCUUCGGUCCGAACCGGUCAGACCGGUUGGGCCAAACCGGUUCACUGAAAAAAAAAAAAAAAAAAAAAAUAUUAUUUCAGAUUUCUAAAAUUGAACUUAAAACGAAUUGAUUUUAAUUUUUGGAAAAUUAUUUUCAAUUAAUCCCAAUUAGAUAAUUGGAUCGACAAUCAUCUAUUUUAGUAAAUAGGUGUUAGAUUAAUCAAAUUGAUUUAAAUUGUUAAAUUGAUUUCAAUUAAUAGAACACAAAUAUAAUAUUGAUUAUAAGUUCAACUUAAUUAGUAGUACCUCAACAUUAUAUGAAUGAUUUAUGCUAGUUGAGGUUCUAUAAUUAUUUUGAAAAACCCGAUAAUUAAUUAAUGUAAUUAAUUAUAUAGUUAGGUCGUAUGUUUCUCUUAGGACAAUAUGCGUUUCCAUAUACCUUUAGAGAACAUAGAUGUAGGAAUCACAUAGACCAAUCCGAACCUUCUGAUGAGAUAAAACUUUUAAUAAAACCCCUCAUUCUUAAUCUAAUUGAGAAUCAUUUCAAGCUAUAAAGAAAAACCCAAUCUGUUGAGUUAUUUCUUUCCUUCUGCCAACGGUUGGAUUAUGUGUAGCCCUUUGUUGUAGUGCAGUAAGCCGUGUUAGCUGGGAGUGCUAUGGUAGAGUAAGCUGUAAUUCAAUUGACAUAACGAUGAAGGUAGCCAUAGAAAAGGGUUAUGUUGGAUUAACGUGGUCGGCUAGAUUAACUAGGGACUGCAUUAGUUUGGCAUAAUCAAGUUCUAUGAGCAUCUUUGAUUGGUAGGUUAGACUUGACACACGACGAUUUUGAUAUUCGCGAGAUUAACUUAGGUCAUUAUCAAGUGUGAGGAAAAUUAAUUUAGGGUCAUAUUGUGGAUAUGAUUGAUUGUGAUCUACCUUUGGGCAAAUAUAAUCGGGCUAGAUUAACUACGGGUUAUAUUUGUCUAUUGGACCUAAAGCCCAUUAAGAAAAAUCAGUUUUCUCGUUUGUCUACUAGAGGGAAGUGGAACUCGAUAAAAUUAGUGGGAGAACAAUUAAAUAACAUAAGUCCAAACAUUUAAUUGUAACAAUCAUUUAACGCGAAUCUCUAAUAAUCCUCUUCUCUAAAUGUCUCAGAUAAUCAUGUCUAAGAAUCCCAUAAUGUCAAUCCUCGACAAUAAACUCAAUGGCCCUAAUUACCUAGAUUGGUUGCGUAGUCUUAAGCUUGUGCUAACUGUUGAGGGGCGUCUCUAUGUUUUGAACGAGAGGCUUCCCGCCACUAUACCUGCCACAGCAACUGAUGCUGAAAAGGAAACUUAUAAAGUUUGGAAGAAAGAUGACACUCAUGCUAGGUGCUAUAUGAUAGCCGCCAUGGAGCCCGCGCUUGCGAGGAAAUAUGAGUCUCACUUGCAUGCUUUCGAUAUAAAGGCUCAUCUCGAUAGCAUGUAUAGUGAGAAUAUUAGGGCAUCGAGGUACGCUGCUACAAAGGAGUUGAUCACAGCGAGACUGCGCGAAGGGACUUCGGUCCACGAGCACUGUCUCAAAAUGAUCACUCCCCUUGAAAAGCUAGUGAAUCUUGAUGUCACCCUCCCGGCCGAGCUCUCUUUGGAUUUGAUCCUGUUGUCUCUCCCUAGUUCUUAUGAAUCGUUCAUAGUGAACUUCAACAUGAACAAACUAGAUCCUCCCUUGGAUGAGUUAAUUAACAUGUUGGUCAGCUUCGAGUCCACCAUUAAGAAGGAGAAGUCUGUUCUCAUUGGUGCUACUUCUGGAAAGAAGAGUUCUUUCCAAAAGAAAAGAAAGGAAAGAGUUCCCUUCCCAAACAGCAAGUUCGAAGUGGGUGAAGGUAGUGGGGGCCCCAAAGCAAAGGUUAGGAAGCAAGUUGAUGAUGCUUGCCAUCACUGUGGAAAGAAAGGACAUUGGCGCCGCAACUGCAAGGCUUACCUAAAGCAGAAAGGUUCUGAAAAGGGUACGUAUUUCAUUGACGUAAAUUUGUCUGUCAACUCUUCUUCUUGGGUAUUGGAUACGGGCUGUGGCUCACAUUUGUGCAAUGAUUUGCAGCUAAUGACAAGAAGUCGAAGACUUAGAGCGGGUGAGACCUACCUAAGGAUGGGGAAUGGAGCAAGAGUUGAUGCUGAAGCCAUUGGCACAAUUUACUUAAAUGUUUUGGAUUCUAGUUUUCCUAUUGUUUUGAACGAUUGUUUAUUUGUUCCGUCGCUCAUUAGAAACCUUAUUUCUAUUCCUGUAUUAGAUAUUGAAGGUUUUACUUUUGUUUUUGGAAAUUCGAUUUGCAUUAUACAAAAGAAUGAGAAUUUAAUUUGCAAAGGACGACUAUUAAACAACUUGUAUGAACUAAAUCCAAAUGAAAUACCUAUUAAUGUUAUAUCAGCAAAACGUAAGGAGAUAGAUCAAAACCCCGCACAGCUUUGGCACGCUAGAUUAGGUCAUGUCUCUUUAAGAAGGAUGAACAAUUUUGUCAGUGAAGGAUUGUUCUCUUUGGAGGACGUGAAAUCACUACAAACUUGUGAAUCCUGCCUUAAAGGGAAAAUGACCAAAUCACCCUACAAAGGGAAAAUGGAACGAGCCGAGGGUCUUUUGGAUUCCAUACAGACGUAUGUGGUCCACUAAGUGUUAGUGCGAAGGGUGGAUAUAACUACUUCGCUACCUUUACCGACGAUUGUUCUAGGUAUGGGUAUGUGUACUUGAUGAAGUACAAGUCUGAAACAUUUGAAAAGUUCAAAGAUUUUAGACACGAAGUGGAAAAGCAACUCGGACGAAGUAUUAAGAAGCUACGAUCCGAUCGUGGUGGAGAAUACUUGAGCAUCGAGUUCAUUGACUAUCUAAAAGAGAAUGGGAUACAAUCCCAAUGGACUCCACCGGGAACUCCUCAACUUAAUGGAGUCUCCGAACGUCGGAAUCGAACCUUAUUGGAUAUGGUUCGAUCAAUGAUGGGGUUCACAAACUUACCGGCAUACUUGUGGGGUCAUGCACUUCGUACUGCCGCGUAUUUGCUGAAUAGAGUUAACACCAAAGCAGUUAAAUCCACACCUUAUGAACUUUGGCAUUCCCGGAAACCCAAUUACAAACAUAUUAGGAUAUGGGGUUGUCCCGCUUAUGUGAAGCGAUUAGUGGGAGAUAAGUUGGAUAGUAAAUCCGACUUGUGCUAUUUUGUGGGGUAUCCCGAAGACUCGAUGGGAUACGAGUUCUACUAUGUCAAAGAAGCAAAGACGUUUGUUUCGAGAAAUGCCACCUUUUUGGAAAGGGAGUUUCUAUCCGAUAGAAAGGGCAGCAUGAUAGAACUUGAAGUAGUUCAAGAACCACAAAGUGAAGUUCAAACGCAAGAACAAGCAAUCGAACCAAUACAACAAACCACUAAUAUACCUCCUGAACCUACGGUACGUAGAUCCGAAAGAGUUCGGAAAAUGCCGGAUAGGUUAUUCCUCCUCGAAAAUGAUGAAGAUCAUGUUGAUCUUGGACGAGAUCCAAGAACAUACAAUGAGGCCGUAUCGGAUGCGGACAUGGGACAUUGGCUAACUGCCAUGAAAUCCGAAAUGGACUCCAUGUACUCCAACAAGGUAUGGACCUUGGUAGAUCCACCCUAAGGAAUUGUUCCUAUAGCUGCAAGUGGAUCUAUAAGAAGAAAAUUGGAGUUGAUGGAAAGGUAUCGACCUAUAAAGCUAGAUUGGUAGCAAAAGGAUACACUCAAAGGCAAGGUGUUGACUAUGAGGAAACCUUUUCGCCAGUCGUGAUGCUGAAGUCCAUUAGGAUUUUGCUGGCCAUAGCUGCGUGGUACGACUACGAGAUAUGGCAAAUGGAUGUGAAGACCGCCUUCCUUAAUGGAGAUAUUGAGGAAGAAAUUUACAUGGCGCAGCCGGAAGGCUUCAUAUCUUCUGGAAGUGAGCAAAAGGUUUGCAAGCUCCAGCGAUCCAUUUAUGGAUUGAAGCAAGCAUCCCGUAGUUGGAACAUUAGGUUCGACUCAACUAUCAAAGAGUUUGAUUUUGAGAAGAAUCCGGAGGAACCUUGUGUAUACAAGAAGGUUAGUGGGAGGGCAGUAAUAUUUUUAGUGCUUUACGUUGAUGACAUUCUACUCAUUGGGAAUGACGUAGGAAUGUUGCAGCAAACGAAAGCAUGGUUGUCCACACGUUUCUCAAUGAAGGAUUUGGGAGAAGCAUCUUAUGUAUUAGGAAUACGCAUCUAUAGAGAUAGAGCAAGAAAGAUGCUUGGCUUAUCCCAAAGCCUGUACAUAGACACCGUUAUGAAACGGUUUAGCAUGGAAGAAUCCAAGAAGGGAUUCUUGCCAAUGUCCCAUGGGGUUCGUCUCUCGAAAUCUAUGUGUCCGCAAACACCUAGUGAAAUCGAGGAGAUGAAAAGGACGCCCUAUGCUUCUGCCAUAGGAAGCAUAAUGUAUGGCAUGCUAUGUACGAGACCCGAUAUUGCGUAUGCUGUGAGUGUCACAAGCAGAUAUCAGUCUAACCCCGGCCCGGCUCACUGGAAAGCCGUGAAAGAUAUCCUCAAGUACUUGCGAAGAACUAAGGAUAUAUUUUUGGUCUAUGGGGGUGCCGAGUUGAAAUUAGAGGGUUUUACUGACUCUAGUUUUCAAUCGGAUGUGGACGACUCAAAGUCGAAUUUUGGAUUUAUAUUCACGCUUAAUGGUGGUGCCGUGUGUUGGAAGAGUUCCAAGCAAAGCACGACGGCCGAUUCCACUACCGAAGCGGAAUACAUUGCAGCGUCCGAAGCUGCAAAAGAAGGGACUUGGAUAAGGAAAUUCAUCCAAGAGUUGGGUGUCAUUCCUGAUGCUAGUGAUCCAGUACCGUUGUACUGCGAUAACACCGGAGCCGUGGCGCAAGCUAAGGAGCCACGAUCUCAUCAGAAGUCGAAGCAUAUUCUGAGGAAGUAUCACGUGAUCCGAGAGAUCAUUGAUAGAGGUGAAGUCAAGGUUGAACGAGUCACCUCGGAAGAGAACGUUGCAGACCCCUUCACGAAGCCUUUACCGAGAUCGGUCCAUGAGAAACAUCGAGAGUCGAUGGGAUUGCGAUUUAUGGGUAGUUGGCUUUAGGUCAAGUGGGAGAUUGUUAGAGUAGGUGACCAACAAGCCAACAUGUGGCUGUGGUCUUUCGUUUUUAUUAUUGUAAUAAACGAACCUUUAUUCGUAUUAAUGAUAAAACACCUUGGCAUUCUAUAUCUUUGUCCCUUUGUCACAAGCAUAGAUAUAGUCCUUACAGUUAUUACAAGUACUAGUAAUUGAUCGUUAGGAUCGUGAGAUAUUUACUCAAGUAUUAUAACUGUUAAACGUGUUCCUAGUCGAAGGGUUACGCCACUAAUGAGGAUAUCGGCCUUUCCCAUUAAGACUAGCACUUAGUGUAUGUGUACUGCAUCUCAUCAGUAAACGGUAUUGUGAUAUCGGCAUACAUAAGUGGGUGCUCGUAAGUUGACGAGUUCACUGAACUCCCUCACCCUAGACAUCACCGUGACUUCACUAGAGGACCAGCUGUAUCGUGACCUGUCCCUGAGUUCCACCGAGGACCAUCCCAAGGGCCAGUGUUCGUGCAGUCCGAAAUCUAGUGGGAGGUCUGUGCAUUGUAGUCGGGGAUUCGAUCGCUAGAAUAGUCUUGGAUGUCCUGUGUGUUCUGAAAGUUUGUAAUCAUUCUAAGUCUCUGGCCAGAGCUGACUAAGUGAUGAUUAGAGAAUUCGAUUCUCUAAGUCAUGCACGUAAAGAUUACAACACUUAGAACGAUCGCACCGUCAUCGAACAUAUAAAGAGGUCUCGAUGAACCAAUGCCUCUAGUUCGAUCGGGACAUAUGAAUCGAAGGGACCGUACUGUACGUUAACUAUAUCUGAAGGUUCUUGCAGGCACUUCAUUUGUAUCUAUGGAAUCAUGACGCGUAGUUGCUAGACGCCUAUCUUGAUUCGUUGGGUGAUUAAGGUGAAACGAGCUUCAUCUUAAUCGUAACUCUAAGGGACGAGUUUUGACCACAAAGAGUUGUGGGCCCACGGCUAGCUUACACCUGAACCAUCGAGGGUCACACUGCUCGUGCACAUGAGAUCUUUGAAUAAACGGUCAGAGAUAAAAUAGUUUAUCUUUGCAUGAUUGGAAGUCAAUAUGAUUGAGUCCAACAUUCAUAAUUUGGAAUUAUGAAUGAGAAUAAGAAAAGGAAAAGAAUAGGCGAACGUAUUAGUGAACUUUCUAAAUCGGGAAGUUUCCAAAUUUAGAAAGUGCACUGAACUAGGGUUUCCACUUUUGGAAAGUUGGAAAAUGAGAGUUGGCACUCGUAAUGACGAGGAAAUUAUAAUGAUUCCGAAAAUGUAAUCGUUGCAAUUUUUCGGUCAUUGAAUUAAGAGAGACGAGCAAGUAAAGGAACUAACGAGCUUAAGCUGUUGGGCCUGGUCCAACUUAAGCCCGUUAGGGUUUUAUGCAAGGGACUAUAAAUACUUGAUUUAUAGGCCUUGCACAAGAACACAAGAAAAAACCCUAACCCUAGCCGCUCGUACCCUCUCUCUCUCGGCCACCGCGCCGCCGUCGCCGGAGCUUCACCGGAAUCGGCCAUUCAUUGGCCGAUUGUUUCGGUAUUGUUUUUCCUUCUCUUUUUCUUCCGUUUUUCUAACUAUUACGUGUCUAGUGCCACGUGUUUAGUAGAUCAAAGUAUACGAGGUGAAAUCCGAGAGGAGGAAGACUGUAGAUCGAAUAAUCGAGGAGCAACGCACGAGCCGAAGCUGCGCGCUGCCCUACGCGCCGCCCCGGAAUACCGCGCGUGUACCUCACGCGCCGCCGUGGGCCGAUCUGCUGCUGCUGCCGCUGCACCGCUGCUGCCCCGAUUGUACGGAUUGGUUUCCGUAGCAAUCUCGACUUGCUAAACGCUCCUACCUCACGCUUCAAGAGGUAAAUACACGAAACCCUAGUUUCGAUUCGUUUAUGUUUAAACUAUGAUUUCAUGUUUGCUAUCGUAUGACUUUAUGUGAUUAUAUGUAAUUGUUUUAAUCUUUGCAAGCAUGUUAAUCGGUUUAAACGCGAGCAUGUUAAUUGAUUUAAAUUCGGUUAAAUUAUUUAGCAUGUAUGUUGUUUUUAAUUUCGCUGGAAGCGCAAAGGUACGCAAUUAAUUGAUUUAAUUUGUCGGGCAUGUACAUGUGUGAUUUAAAGUCGUUUAAUUCGCAUAAAAUUUUUGUUUUCCGCUGCGUAUGCGUGCCCGAAACCCAACAAUUUGUGUGUUAUUUGUGGUGAUUAAACGGUAAUAGCAUUUUGGUCUUAGCAUUCAAGUCCAUGCAUAUAUUUUUGAAAGUUUGGAAAAUUAAUGGAAUGCUUGAGUGAAUAAACGGGAUACGGUGGGCCGAUAUCCAGAUUUUGUUAAAGAGUGGUUUGAUCCCACUAAAGAAACGGGCUCGUAACAGUUUAUUGGCCAUGUAUGGAAAUUAAUUUUUCACGGAUCCGGUAACCGAAAAUGGGUAUUUUAUUUUUUUACGAUUUUUAGUGAAAACGAAAAUGUGUUUUUCACGAUUUUUAUGGUAAACGAGAAACAAAUUUUUUUCAUGAUUUUAUGGUAAACGAAAACGAGUUUUUAAACUAUUGAUUAAUGUCUCAAGUAUAUCACGUAUUCUCUUGACAGUAUGAAACAUUAACGAAAUACUUGGCAGAAUAAACAUCGGAUACGGAGGGCCGGUAUCCAAUACAAGUUCAAAAGGAGUGGUUUGUUCCACAAUAGAAACGGGCUCGAAACGCUUUAUAGUUUAUUGCUUGAGUACAUAAAUUAAUUUUCCAAGGAUCCGAUAAAGUGAAAAAAAUAUUUUUCUCAUGCAUUGCAUUCACAUGCAUUUUGGUCAUUGUGCAUAUUAAAGUGAUUUGUGUGCAAAUUAUGUGCUUUUGUGACCCGUGUGUUGUCGUAUAUUACCUGGGGUUUAGAUAGUCACGUUGGGAUUCUGAUAAGGAUCCUGUUGCAUUUCAUUUAUAUGCGUAAAGUGUUAAAUUGAUACUAAGGGGACUUUAUGUCCGCGAGUAAUAUGAGGAUUUUAUAUCCGUAUAAUAUGAAAGAGGACUGUGUGUCCAACAUACCAAGAUUGAGGUAAACAAUAUUAUAUGUUUAUAUGUACGGGUAUAUGUUCGACUAUGUUUUAUUAUAAUAUUCAUGCUUCGUGGUUCUUAAUUUUGAAGAAUAGAAGUACUGUAUUUGUAUGUGAUGUUAUGUGCUUUCACUUAUGUGAUCGAAUGUCUUGGUCUAAACGAAUAAAUUGAAUAUAGAGGACAUAGUUGAAGCUUUAGGAUUAUCCCUACACGAAAGAACAUAGAGACGAGGACUUUAGGGCUCCUAUAGGACGUGAGUGACACGUUGAGAGAGGUGUGAGUAUCGUCAGGCCAAUGUUCUUACUGAGCCAGUGGUUGGGCUCACGCUUUAUGCGAAUUUCCCCUUUUCAGGUUCUCGAAGUAAUCAGAGUGCGCAGCGGAGCGGAGUUCAAGGAAUCACGAACCUUGAGGCCUUGCACGUCUUACCCGGAUUUCGUAAAAGAUCCAUGUUUUCACUUUCGUCUAUAAAAAGGUCUUAUGUAAAAAUGGAGAUUUUUAUUUUACUCUGAUUUAGGAAUCCAGUCUAUUAAACGGGGGUAUUUAAAUCAAGUUUAUUUUCCUUCCGCUGUCUUACAAGUUUUCUUUUCAAACCCCGAUAAUGAUUUGGUAGCACUCUUUAUGGAAAUCGUAACUUUGAAUUGUGGGUUGUAUUUUAAGUAAAGAGAAAUACUUUAAAAUUUUAAAUUGGGUUUCUCAAAGUUCAAAUUGAUCCGGAAUUUUUAAAGUCCACUUAAACAUUUCUUCUUUAACUAAAAUUCAUGGAGGGUGUUACAUCCAUUGGAUUGCAAUUUUCAACUAUAUAGAGUUAUAGAAGGAGUGGGAUUUGUUUUCAUGUAAUCCUCUCUAUGCGUGACUCUAAUUCCUUGUGAUAUAGAUAAUAGAGAUUGGGUUGAUGAGAAAAAAAAAAGUGCAACACGCCUAUACACGUUCUAGAGAAGAAAAUAUUUUUCUCUUCUUCUUUUCUCUCUAAGUUUCUCGAUUAUAAAUUUAGAUUUAUUAAAGUACAAGUCCACCCUUGUAGAUGUUGAAUGAAAUCGCCGAAGAUAUGUACGUGUAUCAACAUGUUUCGCUAGACGAGGUUCCGAUCAUAACAUGGAAACCUAUAAGCCAAGAACAAGUAACAUUCUUGAAUACGUGCCUACAAUCCGAAAACCCCGAGUCGUUGUAUAGACAAGCAAUUAAUUACCAACGAACUUUAUCGAAAUAAUUAUUUUAAAUUAAUCAAGAUUUAAUUAAUUUUCUAAUUUCUUUUAAAAAAUAUUUUCAGCUCGACUACUUCAACAAAACGAAUCUGAAAUCAACGUGCAUGCACUUACAGAAAGCGGUGAAAAACGGCCACACGGGCUCUCUUUACGUAACCUGCAUCGUUUUGCUCUUCAGUGGGAACGAAGAACUCAAGCAACAGGGCAUCAAGUUAUUGGGGAACAUGAAAAAGACGAACGGCUUGAAGAGAAGGCUUCGAAUUUGCCGCAAUAAUUUGCAUAGCAUUCUGAAGAUGAUUUAGGUGAAGAAUCCGGUUUUGCUGGAGCCGCCGGUUUGCUGUACGGCCCGAGAUCCGCAUCACAGGAAAAGGCGAUGGUCUGAAGUGGAGGAAGAUGUCACGUGCGAGGCUUGUGUUGCUGAUCAAGAGAUUAAUUUACUUAGUAGUAGAUUAAUUUUGAUUAAUCAUUUGAUUUAUUAGCAUUAUUUGUCAGGUAGCUAGUGUUCAUUUUUCCAAUUGAUGAAUUCAAAACUUCAACUUUGUUAUUUUCUGAAUUAUUACCCUGCAUUAUUUCUCUAUAUAUAUUCCAUGUAAUUGAACCCCCUAACAUAAUGGGGUUUAUCUUACGUAAUAUUUCUUUCUUUCUCCUAUUCUAUUCUUCAUAUAUGGUAUCAGAGAUUUAUGGUAUCAGAGAUUGAAGGGUGUGACUGUUACACUUAAUUUCACCACUAAUCCCAGAAUUGUUACACUUAAUUAAUUUCACCACCAAUCCCAGAUCAUUGGAAAAAUAAGGCACGAAAAUGUUGAUAGAUUAAGGGCGUACCACUUUUCGCAAGAUGAAAAGCUCAUGGUGUAUGAUUAUCAAGAUCGGGGCAGCGUAUCUAGAUUCUUACACGGUACGUAAAAAUUCUUUAACAUAGUUAAAAUGAAAGAAAGUUAUUAUUAGAUAUUAACUAAUCAAUUUGCUUCAACUUUGCAGACAAGACAGGCGCUGAUUGGAGACCUUUGGACUGGGAGGCUCGACUUAAAAUUGUUGUGGGUGCAGCAAAGGGUAUUGCCCACAUCCACAUACAAGAUGGUGGGAAAUUUGUGCAUGGAAAUAUAAAAUCGUCAAACAUAUUCCUAAACAGUCAAAAAUACGGGCUUGUAGCGAAUGCUGGAUUGGCAAAACUGGUGGAGCCUAUCAGAAGGCUAGUUGUGCGAAAUUUAGGACAAUUUGCCCCAGAAGUGAAUGACACGAGCAACGUGUCACAAGCUUGCGAUGUGUAUAGUCUUGGGGUUUUGCUGCUUGAACUUGCCACGGGAAGGCCAGCCCAGCACACGAAUGAAGAAGGUGAUGUCGUCUCACUGGUUAGGUGGGUUCAAUUGGUUGUUCUUGAAGAAUGGAGUGACGAAGUGUUUGAUGUGGAGAUUCUUAGGUAUAAAAAUGUGGACGAGGCAAUUGUACAGUUGCUGCAGAUAGCGAUGGAAUGCGUUGCUUUUUCACCGGAAGGAAGGCCUAGGAUGUUUGAAGUAGUGAAGGUGUUGGAAGAAAUUAGCAAUGGGAUUAAUAGAGGGGAGAAGGCAUCCAUUCAAUCAAGAUUGGAAGAUGUAAUGGAAGAUUUAUUGCCUCGGAUACAUCAUGGUUUUUAACAAUCUCUCUCUCUCUCACACACACACACACUUUGAAUAUAUUGAAAGUAGUUGACGAUUGAUUGUACGAAGGACACGUGUCAAAUACAUUCAUAAUAAGGAAGCUUGUUUACUUCUUUGCUCAUGUAUUUCUUUCUUUUUUUAAUUACGUACUACGAAUUCAGAGUCAUUAAUUAUUUCAAAGUAAACUCCGAGGACAAGAAAAAAUUAACCUCAAGUAUUAAUCAUGUUGAAAAAAUUAUUUGAACAUAAUGUAUAUAUAUUCAUAGUAAGUAAUUUUAUAAAAAAUCACAUGUGGGACAAUUUUGGUAUCUUUAUAAGUUUCAAUGGGCAUAGUUGGAACAAUAGAAUUCUGAACUUCGAAGGUUAGAUCUAUUGAAUUUAUUGUCAAAAUUUUGAGGUUUAACGAUUUCUUUUAAUAUUUUUUAAAAUAAUUAAAAGUCAAGUAAUUUUAAUACCAAAAAAAAAAAUAGUAGUAUUAGAAGAACAAGAAACACCGCACACAAAUUUCAAUCCUAAAUCAACAAGGUAAGUACAUAUAUUCGUUCUAGUAAAUAAGGAAAAUAAAUAAUUAAGGCGUGCCCAACAUGGAAGUAUUGUGACACAUGCAAAAUCCUACCAUAUAUAUAUUUGCAUAUAUGGUAAAUUACCAAUUAAUAACUAUUUUAUUUCCUAAUUAGUUCAGGUUUCUAUCUCUGAAUCAUCUAUAUAAACACCUUCAACUUCUAUCAUAAUAAAUCACGAAAAAGAAUAAAGAAGAGAGAAAAAAACUAUAAUCAAUCACACCCCUGAAGGAUUAUUAAUCCAACAAUCAUAAACACCAUGACAAGAAAUCCGAAGAACAAGGAGAGAAACACUAAAGCUGUUUCGAGUAUGUUCGAUAGCAUUCCCCAUGAAUUGGUUUCCGAAGUUUUAAGCCGAGUUGUAUCGUCUUCCAUCAAGGACAUCUUCAAUGCCAAAUUAAGGUGCGUUAAUAUAAUUAACUUCAAGAAACAUGUUCUUGCAUGAUUAUGGUUUUACGACCGUUGAUUUAUUUUCGUUCGUUUCGUUUCUAUUCCCUGUUUUUUUUUUUUAGAUGUUUAAAUUUUUUUUCGAUCUCAACCAAUUCUUUAUAAACUGAAAUUUUAAAUCCAGAUAUUAUGUGGGUUAUCGAGUUUUCGAUUAUUAAUUAUCAAUUGAUAUAAUCGUGAGCGAUGUGUGUUUGUGCAUGUAAUUAUCAUCUUCGAUACCUUAGAUAAUUAAAUUUUUUAAACAUAAUUUUUUUUUGGGCACAGCUGCAAGAUGUUGAAUGAAAUCGCCGAAGAUAUGUACGUGUAUCAACAUGUAUCGCUAGACGAGGUUCCAAUCAUACCAUGGAAACCUAUAAGCCAAUAACAAGUAACGUUCUUGAAUACGUGCCUACAAUCCGAAAACCCCGAGUCGUUGUAUAGACAAGCAGUUGUAAGUUUCUUGAUUUCAAAAAUUAAUUACCAACGAACUUUAUCGAAUUAGUUAAUUUAAAUUAAUCAAGAUUUAAUUAAUUUUUCUUUUUUUUUAAAUCUUUUUCAGCUCGACUACUUCAACAAAACGAAUCUGGAAUCAACGUGCAUGCACUUACUGAAAGCGGUGAAAAACGGCCACAGAGGCGCUUUGUACGUAACAUGCAUUGUUAUUCUCUUCAGUGGGGACGAAGAACUCAAGCAACAGGGCAUCAAGUUAUUGAGGAACAUGAAAAAGACGAACGGAUUGAACAGAAUGCUUCGAAUUUGCCGCAAUAAUUUGAAUAGCAUUCUGAAGAUGAUUUGGGUGAAGAACCCGGUUUUGCUGGAGCCGCCUGUUUGUUGUACGGCCCGAGAUCAGCAUCACAAGAAAAGGCGAUGGUCUCAAGUAGAGGAAGAUGUCACGUGCGAGGCAUGUGUUGCUGAUCAAGAGAUUAAUUUACUUAGUGGUAGAUACAAUUUUGAUUAAUUAUUUGAUUUAUUAGCAUUAUUUGUCAAGUAGUUAGCGUUCAUUGUUCCAAUUGACGAAUUCAAAACUUCAACUUUGUUAUUUUCUCAAUAACAAUAAAUUCACUUGAAAGCUAUGUAAUUCUUCCAUUGCAGUCUAUUUCCGAUUUCCAGAUGAUUCUCAUUGGAAUUUUUUUUACUUUGAAAUAAUAUUUUUUAUUCCAAUUUCUGUUUUUUCAUUCGAAAUUUUUCUACUUUGAAAUAAUAUUUUUUAUUCCAAUUUCUGUUAUUUCGAUAUUAUUUAGAUCGGAAUCAAGGUGGUGGGAAUAUGUUUUACUGUUUAGGAAUAUGUUUGACGAUUUUAUAUUUCCAUGCACAAAUUUUCCACCAUCUUUAUUCGCUACAAGCCCGUAUUUUUUACUGUUUAGGAAUAUGUUUGACGAUUUUCCACCAUCUUUAUGAUUGUUGGAUUAAUAAUCCUUCAGGCGUGUGAUUGAUUAUAGUUUUUUUUUCUCUCUUCUUUCUUCUUUUUCGUGAUUUAUUAUGAUAGAAGUUGAAGGUGUUUAUAUAGAUGAUUCAGAGAUAGAGACCUGAACUAAUUAGGAAAUAAAAUAGUGAUUAAUUUGUAAUUUACCAUAUAUGCAAAUAUAUAUAUGGUAGGAUUUUGCAUGUGUCACAAUACUUCCAUGUUGGGCACGCCUUAAUUAUUUAUUUUCCUUAUUUACUAGAACGAAUAUAUGUACUUACCUUGUUGAUUUAGGAUUGAAAUUUGUGUGCGGUGUUUCUUGUUCUUCUAAUACUACUACUAUUUUUUAUUUUUAUUUUUGUAUUAAAAUUACUUGACUUUUAAUUAUUUUAAAAAAUAAUAAAAGAAAUCGUUAAACCUCAAAAUUGUGACAAUAAAUUCAAUAGAUCUAACCUUCGAAGUUCAAAAUUCUAUUGUUCCAACUAUGCCCAUUGAAACUUAUAAAGAUACCAAAAUUGUCCCACAUGUGAUUUUUUAUAAAAUUACUUACUAUGAAUAUAUAUACAUUAUGUUCAAAUAAUUUUUUCAACAUGAUUAAUACUUGAGGUUAACUUUUUCUUGUCCUCGGAGUUUACUUUGAAAUAAUUAAUGACUCUGAAUUUGUAGUACGUAAUUAAAAAAAAAAAAAAGAAAAAAACAAAGAUGUCGUAUGGGGUGAAAUAACACUUGACAUAGUAAACACAAAAUUUGAUAUCUGGCAAGUAAAUACUUGUGGACCGGCUUCAGAGGUGAAAUACUUAUAUAAACAGUAUUACAAGAAUACACGAGAAAAGAAGUAAACAAGCUUCCUUAUUAUGAAUGUAUUUGACACGUGUCCUUCGUACAAUCAAUCGUCAACUACUUUCAAUAUAUUCAAAAUGUGUGUGUGUGUGUGAGAGAGAGAUUGUUAAAAACCCUGAUGUAUCCGAGGCAAUAAAUCUUCCAUUACAUCUUCCAAUCUUGAUUGAAUGGAUGCCUUCUCCCCUUUAUUAAUCCCAGUGCUAAUUUCCUCCAACACCUUCACUACUUCAAACAUCCUAGGCCUUCCUUCCGGUGAAAAAACAACGCAUUCCAUCGCUAUCUGCAGCAACUGUACUAUUGCCUCAUCAACAUUUUUAUACCUCAGAAUCUCCACAUCAAACAUUUCGUCACUCCAUUCUUCACGAACAACCAAUUGAACCCACCUAACCAGUGAGACGACAUCACCUUCUUCAUUCGUGUGCUGAGCUGGCCUUCCCGUGGCAAGUUCAAGCAGCAAAACCCCAAAACUAUACACAUCGCAAGCUUGUGACACGUUGCUCGUGUCAUUCACUUCUGGGGCAAAUUGUCCUAAAUUUCGCACAACUGACCUUCUGAUAGGCUCCACCAGUUUUGCCAAUCCAGCAUUCGCUACAAGCCCGUAUUUUUUACUGUUUAGGAAUACGUUUGACGAUUUUAUAUUUCCAUGCACAAAUGAAAUCAACAGAUAUUCAAAAAAGAUAAAUAUUAUCAUUUGAUUGAGAAUUUUAACAUAUUCUUAACCUUGACAUUCAAAAAAGAUAAAUAUUAUCAUUUGAUUGAGAAUUGUAACAUAUUCUUAACCUUGACAGGGCCAAGUACAAUCGACCAUGUCUAAAAACAGUCAUGGGAACAGUCAUGGGAAGGUAUGUUCCGACAUGUGAGAUAGUUUGAAAAUUGGAAUAAAUUUCUAGAUUCUCAAAAUUUUAGAAUUAGAAUCGGAAUCAGUUUUGUACUUCCGAAAAGAAUAAUUAUUCUUUUUGAAAAGGUUAAUUAUGAUCCAUAACAUCCGUCUUUCAUCCCUAAGAGCAUAUGUUGUAUCAACUACCAAAUUAAAAAAAAAAUUGCAUUCAGACUAUAAUCUAAAAUUACAAUUUGAGUAAAAAUUAGAACAAAUCUCCAACCGUUGAGAGUAAAUUACCAAUCGAGGUAGACCAUGUGGUUUCCUAAAUGAGAAUUUUCUUGAAUCUGACGGCUCUCUUACUGAAAGGAGACUAAAGAUCAAGAAACUGAAUUUUUCAUCGUCAAGUUAAGAAAACUCCACCUUUUGAAAGAAAACGACUUCCAAAUGCGCCUCUGGUUGCCGUCGUUUUUGGUAACAAACUUCCCCCCCCUAAAAUCCACACCAAUGAAUCAAAGAAGACCAAGCAGCCCUCUACAUUUCUACCAUUCUUCCAUUUGAAACAUUAGGCAAGAAGUGGAGUUGAGAACCGUUCCUAUAUAUAAUUCAUAGAAACUAUAUAAUUAUGAUUCACACAACACAUAAACAUACUACUCCGGUACUCCCUGAAAAGCAAACACCAAUCCAACUUCAAUAUAAGUAUCAUUAUUCAGCUAACGUAUUGAAAAAGUAAAAAAUAUCAAUCUAUAAAUACAAUAUACAAAUACUGUGAUGGCAAACACCAAUCGAACUUCAAUAUCAAAACCAAAACACAUUCUGAUUAGUGUGUUAUGAAGAGGAAACAAAUUAAGUAAGGACUACCAUAAACCAAUAUUUAGAGUUGUAUCAUAUAAGCGACUAUUACAUACCUUACAUUCAUAAAAUAGGUUUAAAAUUAUCAAUGUCAUAAUACACACACACACAAAAAAAAAGGAAAAAAAAAUAGGAUCAUGUCUAUUCAGUUCUUCUCAAGUUUGGUAUUCUUCACUACCUUAGUAGUCGACAUUUGCGUAGCUCCACCAUCUGACAAAUUGCAGGAAUCGUGGUAUCAUCAUCACAUAUGAAACCUAAACACUGAAUAGAAGUAAUGUUAAGUUCAUAAAAAAAAUUGCAUAAAAAAAUACAUAUAUUGAUUUAAAUACAUAUAUUUGGAGAUUUAACAUAGAAACUCAACGCCAAAUGAUAGUAGCAGGAGAAAAUAAUGUUAAAUGCAUGGUUUGGAAAUGACAAAAGAGGCAUCACAAUCACCAGGUUUGUGAAAAAAAAAAGAAAGAAACAAAUGAUGGAUGCCCAACAAAUACAAUACAAUUUGGAAUCUUUUCGUAAACAAAAAUUUCGUUAAAAAAACAU
Molecule: long non-coding RNA, 38672 nt
Filed under: Erythranthe guttata (spotted monkey flower)
Lineage: Eukaryota; Viridiplantae; Streptophyta; Magnoliopsida; Lamiales; Phrymaceae
Description: long non-coding RNA (EGUT_LNC002359)
Source: RNAcentral